UACGUAGGGUGCAAGCGUUGUCCGGAAUUAUUGGGCGUAAAGAGCUCGUAGGCGGUCUGUCGCGUCGGCUGUGAAAUCCCGAGGCUCAACCUCGGGUCUGCAGUCGAUACGGGCAAACUAGAGUAUGGCAGGGGAGACUGGAAUUCCUGGUGUAGCGGUGGAAUGCGCAGAUAUCAGGAGGAACACCGGUGGCGAAGGCGGGUCUCUGGGCCAAAACUGACGCUGAGGAGCGAAAGCGUGGGGAGCAAACAGG
RNAcentral lists this ribosomal RNA (253 nucleotides) under uncultured bacterium. RNAcentral describes it as "partial 16S ribosomal RNA". It matches the Rfam family "Bacterial small subunit ribosomal RNA", at positions 524 to 776 of the family's 1533-position model. The record is from RNAcentral.